GGCUGGUCCGAAGUUAGUGAGUUAUCUCAAUUGAUUGUUCACAGUCAGUUACGGAUCAAACUCCUUGUUCUACUCUUUCCCCCCUUCUUACUACUGCACUUGACCAGUCUUAA
RNAcentral lists this Y RNA (113 nucleotides) under Saimiri boliviensis boliviensis (Bolivian squirrel monkey). RNAcentral describes it as "Y RNA (ENSSBOG00000010814.1)". It matches the Rfam family "Y RNA". From Rfam's summary of the family: Y RNAs are components of the Ro ribonucleoprotein particle (Ro RNP), in association with Ro60 and La proteins. The Y RNAs and Ro60 and La proteins are well conserved, but the function of the Ro RNP is not known. Lineage: Eukaryota; Metazoa; Chordata; Mammalia; Primates; Cebidae. The record is from Rfam by way of RNAcentral.